RNAcentral lists this long non-coding RNA (6271 nucleotides) under Sus scrofa (pig). RNAcentral's name for it is "lncRNA (ENSSSCG00015010769.1)". Lineage: Eukaryota; Metazoa; Chordata; Mammalia; Artiodactyla; Suidae. The record is from RNAcentral.
AAAAAACUUUUAUAUUUUUGCACAUUGUUCUCUCUCUUGUAUAUCACAGCACUCAAAAACAACCAAAAAAUGAAUGACUGAAUGAGCUAAUGAAAUAUCAUUACUAUACCUUUGUACAAAUAACGAAACCUGCUUCUUUGCCCCAAGCAUUGACUGUUAGCUCAGAACUGUCACUAACAAUGGUGAUGGAUGGUGCUGGGAAGAAGCUUUUGGACCCAUCACGAGUAGCACACAGUGCAAGAUCCAGAGUGUACAGCACACCGUGCUCAGUAAAGUGCUUGGGCAAAUUCCUCUGAUCCUUAUCACAAUCCUAUAACAGUCGGUGUAAUACCAUUUCCUUUUUACAAAGGUGGCAUACUAAGGUUAGAGGGGAAAUGAGUUUGCUUAAUGCGAGUGCGAGGAGGUAGAGCACCAAAGCAAAAGGAUGAAAGCUGGCCUUUAUUAUCAAUAAGACAAAGCCUUAUUUGGUUAAAGAAAUGUUUGUUUGGAAUUUUAAUUCAAAAGAGACUCUGGUCUGUGUUGAAAGACCUACGUGUGAGUGGCAUUUGCUGUUGACAGAAGAUCAGAGCUUACAGAGGAACACGUUAAAUAAUCCACUCUUUUCCUCAGUGGGUCUCGAUUGGGCAUUUUCUCCUCUUUCGAUGGUACACUUUCAAACAGGAAGAUUCACUGAUCUUAGGUGUUGUCCGAUGCAUUGUGAUAAAUGUAUGCACCCAUGUAGCCAAAACCACAACUAGAAUACAUGGCGUUGCCAACUUUGCUUUUUAUCCCACUCUCUCCCAGAGGCAAUGGCUCCUCAGGUUUCCGGCUUCAUAGAAUGAUUUCAUUUGUUCUCGAACCAGUUGUAACAAUGGGUUAUACAGUAGGCAUGUUUGAGUGCCUGGGUUCUCCUGAGCCUAAAGUCUUGGAGAUUCAUCCAUUCAUCCUCCGUCAGAAGUUUAUUCUUUAUUGUUGCUGAAUAGUGUUUGAUUGCAUGAAUAUAUUGCAAUUGUGUAUUCAUGCUCCUGAUGCGUGAGCCUGGGUUGUUUACACUUUUAGGUUAUUAUGAAUAAGAUCACCAUGGAUAUAUGUGUGUAAUAUUUUGAGAGGCAUAUUUUUAUUUAUUUUUCGUGAAUUUGUAGGAGUGGAAAUAGUGGAUCAUAAGAUAGCCGCGUAUAUAAAUUUGCAAGAAACUGCCUCAUGAUUUUUCACAGAUGUUGAGCGGUUUUAUACUCCGACCGGUAACAUCUGAGGGUGCCAUUGUUCUGCAUUGUCUUCCACAGUGAAUUCUGUUAGUCGUUACCUUCAGCCUUUCUAAUGAGUGUGAAGUAACAUAUUCUGGUGGCUUUAAUUUGCAUUUCCCUGAUGGUUCUGAUGAACGCACUGUCAUGUGUUUGUGGACAUUCGUCAAGUCUUUUGCCCUUUUUUUAACUGACUUGUUUGAUCAUCAUAUCAUUAUUUAUUUGCGGAUAUUAUUUAGAUAGUCUGGGUACAGUGAUAUGAUUUACAUACUGCAGAUAUUUUCUUAUUUUAUGAUUUGGUGUCUCGUUUUCUUAUGGGCGUCUUUCAAUGAGCAGAAGUUUUAAGUUUGAUGAAAUCAGAUCUAUUAUAAUUUCUUUUAUCGUUAGUUCUUUCUUUGGUUCUGUCUAGAAAAUCCUUUCCUAGUUGGUCACAAAAAUAAUUUCCUAUGUUUUCUUCAAUGAACUUCAUAGUAUAGCUUUUGUAUUUAGGUUUGUAACCUGCCCCUGAUUAAGUUAAUUUUUGCAUGCUGCCUGUGAUAUGAAUCAUAUUUAAUUCAGCCAAAUAUGUUGAAAAGACUUUCCUCUCCUGACUGAAUUCCACUGAAAUCUUUUCAGAAGUCAUUUGGGUUAUUUAUGGACAUUCUGCUCUGUUCCAUUGAUCUUUUGGUCUUUGUGUCAGUACCCAGAUUAUUUUUAACAUUAUAGUAAGUCGUAAACUAAGAUAAUGUUAAUCCUUUAAUUUCCUUGUUCCUUUUCAAGAUUCUGAAGCUGGCAUUCUGUACUUAUGUGGAGCCUACUCUUCUUCCUGUGUGCUAAUUGAAAAUGACUCUUUCAUGAAUAGGUUAUUGAAGAAUUCCAGUACAUAAACACACAUGCAUCUUUUCACCAUGCUUCCUAGAAGCAGUGUGUGACGUGCCAUGAAAUUUGUCAAGUGUCUGAGCAAUUCUUUGGUGCAGUGAAACAGGUUUCCUUACAAGUGUGCCAUCUGCUGUCAGUGUUGGCCAACUGCAUUCAUUACAAGACGAUAAACUUAAUUUCCUUUCUUUGUUCAUUCAGUGCCUUCAGCGACAGACUAUCUAGCCCAGUCCCUAACACACUCCUAACACACACACACACACACACACACACACAUACAGUGUGUACACUGGCAAAUAGAUGCACCAUUGUUUUGUAUCUUAUUUGGGUCCUGGCUAGUGUGUUCUUCCCUUCCCAGGAGUUUUUUGGGAUGCCCGGAGGAUUCAGAUUUCUGCUUGGAAUAAGCCUCAGAGAACUCUUAAAAAUGGCUUUUUGUCAGGUCAUUGCCAAUCUGUUCCAAACCUCAUUAUAGAUAAUUACUUUCAGUGUUUUUUAAAGUAUUCUGUGUCGUCUCUAAGACUUCCAGGUAGUAGGAUCCAUUAACAACAUGAAAAGUUGUUUUUAGACAUAACAAUUUGUAAGUAAAAAGUUCAGACACAUCAAAUAUAUUUUGCUUCCCUAUUCUCUUGCCAUUUGGAGGGCUUAAGAAACUUGAGAAAACUUGAAAAGGUUUACCAUGGGCAGGAACUAUUACUUGCUAGUAACGUGUUUUUAGCAUUACCAGCUAAACACGAGGUCAGUUUUUGAAAGUCAGUGUUUAAUUGGAGAGUGAUUGAUUGACUGAUUAAGCUAUCGUCCUCCUCUUUGAGUCCUGACAUAUGACUUUCCAGGCCUACCUUUGUGAUUAAACUUAGCCACAGUGAGUACUGACGAUUUUUUUUGCAUUAAAAUCAGAGAUUUUGUUCUAAAGUUGGUUUUGUAGUUUGGCUCUUUUUAACAAAUGUGUUUUAUACCUUUUUGUAACAUUAGAAUUAGAUUUUAUUUUGUAAGGCCAUUUUAAGCAUCAAAAUCAAUGAUGAGUCCACACAUAGCACCCGUGAGUGCUGAAUGCUUUGUGUGUAUUAUUUCUUUCUUUCUCUUUCUUUCUUUCUUUCUUUUUAUGGCUUUUUAUGGCCACACCCACGGUAUGUGGAGGUUUCCAGGAUAGGGGUCCAAUCACAGCUACAGCUGCCAGCCUCCACCACAGCCACAGAAACGGCAGAUCCAAGCCGUGUCUGCGACCUGCACCACAGCUCAUGGCGAUCCUUAACCCACUGAGUGAGGCCAGGGAUUGAACCCCCCACCUCAUGGUUCCUAGUCGGAUUCAUUUCCAUUGCUCCACGACGGGAACUCCUAUUUCAUUUUAUCAUUAUCCCCAUUUACAGAGGAUGACACUGUGCUUAGACAGCUGAGAUAAUUUACCCCUGAUCGUAAGCAAAUGGUGGAGCAAGGCCAGUAUUUUAACUAGGUCUAUCUGAGUUCAUAAUAAUCUCUUCAUACACAUUACUGACUAUUUCUCUAUUUCAGACAUUUGCUUUUUAAAACAGCUGUCCAUAAAAGCUCUGAUGAAGUUUUCAAAUCUCAGCUCUUUUCUAAUUAAAAUUUGUGUUGUUAAUAAAUUUAUAAAUUUAACAUAAAGGAGAAUUUUUUUAGAAAAAGAAAAUGUAAUGGUGUGUACAUGUCUAGAACAUAAUGCUGCUUCUCAGCGGGGUCUUUCUUUUUUCUAUAAUUUUGCAUCUUCACUACUCCAUCAGCCAUUGUUCAUCUUGUCUUAAUCUACAAUUUCCUGCAAGUAUUAGCAUAUGCAUUUGUCAGUCUGCUUAUAAGCUUUUAUUUUUAUCUUUUACAAGUUGAUACAUACUUGAUUUAUGGUGUAAGUUUAAUAUAUACACCAUAAUCAUUCAGUACAUGUAUAAAAUUGGAUUUUUCUUCCUAACAUUUUCUGAGUCUUAUUUCUGGUCAACUCAGCUCUCUAAUUUUAUACCACCAGGAUGAAAGAAUGUGAGCAGGUGACGUGCAGUAUUCUCUCUCUCUCUUUUCCUUGUAUGACAGCUAAUCCGUUAAGAAGCAGAAAGUGGCCGGUGCAUUUUAUUGUCUCAGGCCUGCUUUUCCAUUUUUGUGAGGAUGCUCUGCGCUCUUUGGACCUCUGUGUGUUCACGUCUGAGAAUGGAGGUCUGUUGUGGACACGUCGCGCCCGCAGUUACCAGCACGUCCUGAAGUGCACACUUUAUCCUCCCCCUGCUGGGUCCAUCUCAAAUUCAUGUCUGGGAGUCCAGGAUCUGAAAACACUUGAUGUGUCUGAAUAUGCAGACAAUGCAGAGAUGGCUCAUAGGCCCAGGAAAUGCCUGGAGAUAAUGAAAGAAUCAGUCUAGCUUCUAUCUGCCAGAGUUUUCAAUGGACCAUUUAGUUACCAAGGAACAGGUCAAGUAUGAGCAAAAAAGAACAGCAUAUGGAAGCACAGCAUUCUAGCAUAGUAAAAAGGAAAACUCCUGAGAAAACCAAAUUCUUAGGCUCUACUACUGAACUUAUGAAUGUAAUAUGAAUUUAAAUUGAUAUGACUUUACUGAUACAAAUUCAGAUUUAAAAUAUGAAUUUAGGUGGGUUCCUCAAGCUCUAUAUAGUAAAGCAAUGGUAAUGCCUUUGACUAUAAGCUCCUCGAGGAUCAGGACAGCAUCUUAUAAAUCACUGUAUUGCAUAAUAACAACUUCGAAAAACAUCAACAUGUCAUAUAAGGAUUUUAAUCUUUUUGACCAAGUAUUCCUUCAAAAUAAUUUUGAAAAAAAUGUACUCUAAUCUAUAUCUUAAUUUUUCAUUAUGUCUUCAUAAGGAUAUAAUUUUCUCUAUAUCAUAAAUAUUGAUUCUACAUAAAAGUGUUAUAUCACACUUUCAAUUGUAUGCAGUAAAAUAUAAACAUCAUAGCAAAUUAAAAUUCACUGAUAUCCAUUUAAACAGUAGAAGUACAAGCUCAGUUUUAAGAGAUGGGAAUUUUAAGGUGUUAGUUUUCUUCUUAAAAUUUUCCUUCUGGUUCAGUUCCCCCCCCCCACGUAAUUAUUAUUGGUCCACAACGUUCGAAAAACAUUAAUGUAUUUAAAAUGUUUAUGACUGCUAAAGAUUUAUAUGAAACACGUCUCAAUUAAGUGAAGAGGUGCUGCCAGUGAUGUUGAAUUAAGGAGAAUUCAGGCUUCUCCUCAUGAAGACCAUUCCUGACCCCCUGGACCUGGUUAGACCUGCUCAGUUUAAUUCUAUUGAGCCAUCAGUAAGCGAAAGAGAGUAAGAGCUGACAGAAAUGCAGCUAGGAAAGAGAAGUCAUAACAAAAAACAGUGGCCAAAUAAAGCAUAGUUAGAACAAGAAGUGAUUUACUACAGUUGCAUGAUUUUGGAGAUUGAAGUUUCAGCAGAAGACAGUUAAUGGAAGUUAGAUUGGAGAGAAUAUUAAAGAAGGGUCGUGGAAAAGGAGAGGCAGUAAAUGAAAAGAAAAAUUCCAUGAAAUUGGGGUAUGUGAGCUUGGCGGGGGGGGGCUUAUGGUGACUGCUCCAAGCAGUGCCACAUCAUCGUUAAUGGAUGAAUGAAAGGCUUUCUAAGAUGUUAUAAGAAGCCAGCUGGAACUGGAGUUCCUGUUUUGGCUCAGCGCAUCAAGAACCCAGCAUAGUCUCUGUGAGCAUGCAGGUUUGAUCCCUGGCCUCCUCAGGGUUAAGCAGCCAGCACUUCCACAAGCUGCAGUGUAGGUCGCAGAUACGGCUCAAAUCUGGUAUUACUGAGGCUGUGGCCUAGGCCUGCAUCUGUAACUCUGAUUUGACCCCCUAGUCCGAGAACUUUCAUAUGCCACUGGUGUGGCUGAAAAAAUAAAAAAAUAAAAAUAACAAAAGAAAAGAAAAUGGAGUUGGAACAUCUGAAUUAUCAGUAGGCCAAAUUUACAUAGUUCUGUGUUUUUUUCCUCAGAAAGGACUCAGCUGAAAUCAAGACCAUCUGAAGUGUAUAGUAGGGUAAUCCAGGAUUUAAGACUGGAAUAGCAGAAGGGUUAAGGAGGCAGUGGGGUUGAGAGCAUUAUUCAAGUCCUUAUUCAUAGAAAUAUGGAAGAUCUCAGCACCCUGAGCAGACUAUUUCCAAGUAUUAACAAGUCUAAAAAAGAUAACAUUUCCUGCUGAAACUGCUGCUUCUUUUCCAAGCAAAAUAUGUUAUUCUCAUGUCUUGAACAUCUGCUGCCAGGAAAAAAAAAA